UCCUCGGGGUCCGCUUCGCUCCCCUCCAAAUGGCGGCGUGGCGCUGCACGUUUGCCGUCCGACCCGGCUUUCUCUCGCGUUCUGCUGCACCCGCCUCGCAGCGGGCCUCCCGGCGCCCAGGCAGGGUGCACCGACCGCGUGGUGCUGCUGGGGGAUUGGAGGUGGGGGUCUGCGUUACACCGGAGCUGAGCGUCUGUACACUACCCGACUGCCCUGUAUCGCAUAGCCCAUACCUUCAGCUGUAGCUCAGGAUCUGACUACCUGUGCAAAAGCAGGCUUGAAGAUCCAUCUUUAGACAUCUCAGUGCCUGAGUCAGAGGUGGGGAGCAAGAUCCUCAGUUGAUAAGAACUGAAGGAAAUCCACAGGAGUUCUAUACACAGUUACACCAACAGGAUGCAGCGUCACACCAAUGGAGAGAAGAGCCAGAACGCAAAAGCCAGGACAGUGCAGCAGCCUGAAAGCAGGAAAUGGGAAGAGGAGAUGACAUACCCAGAACCUGCAUGAACAGAAAGGAACCAUCCCUUGACUGGGCAUAUGCGGAGAAUAUAGGAUAAGACUACAAAGAUCUUCUCAGCUGGUGUGUGACUACACUCUACAUUAAGAAAAUGUCAAGUGACAUCACUUCAUCUCCUCGGGCUGAGGAUCUAUUACAUCCAUCAACACAUGGCAACAAGUGAUUCAACUUCUCCAAAGCAGACUGUUGGCCAGCAAGCCACUUUGUAAGUAACUUUGUCAUGUAUUUUCAGCAUUUUGUUUCCUAACUAAAGCUAGCCCAUAUAAUUUGUAUAGGCAUCAUACACAUAACAACUGUAAGCUACCAGUGACCCAUGGCGGAAUGGAUGCAGAACAGAAGCUGGUCUGUCAGAAGUGAUAGUACUCAGAGAACAACAGAACAGCAGCAACAGAGGAUAUUCAAUAUCAUUUAAAGUUGUACUGUCACACUUUUUGUUUUCAACUGCAAUUUAAAGCUAUGUUAGUGAUCUGAUGCACCUGAUGGGAGUCACUUGCCUAGCUGGGAUACCAUCUCUCUCCUCAUCUGUACUUCUAAUAGCUCAUAAUGGCAUAUUAUGAAACACUCUUCAUGCUAACAGCAGAAAAGAAGAUAGGAUACCAUCAAGGAUAGUCCUUUCUUCAAUAUGUUCCUUUUUCCCACUGGUUUAGUGAAACAGUUUGUCAUAUUUUAAGGCAAUGCACAAGUGUAAAGCUAAAUAGAAGUAAAACUUUCAAUUCUUUUCUCUAACUAGAAGUUUGUAAAUAUAUACACCUAUACCUGGAUGUAGUCUUAAGGGGAGUGGGUACUGUCACAGUUCUGGCCUGAAUCAUGACUAAAAUUAUUAUCACAGAAAUCACAUAAUUAUGCAGCUUAUACAAUAUUAUUUUUCAUAACUUCAUAGCUAGACUCUUGGUAAUAAUAUGCAUGAUAAUGCAAUGAUUCAUGGAGCCUAUUGAUAUAGACUGGGUUUUCCAUUUUAUGGGUAGGAACAAUUCAACUACAGAAGAUUGUUGGUGGUCAAUCUGGAAAAGAAUCUGGAGUCCUGCACAUUUUAGUCUACACUCUGAAUUACACACCCUUUCUGAUAACAACACUGGCAAGCAUCUGACCUACAGAACAGAACUGCCACUUCCACAGAAAGUGACAAAAUGUGUUGGCUAAAACUGGCUGAAAGAACUUACCUGGAGCUUUGAAAGCGAUUCUUUAAGGCUUGGAACUGUAACUAACAAGGACCCUCUUUUCUUUACGUUACGAGCAAUAAACUCCCAAGCUCUGAAACACAUUUAAAAGCAGAUUAUCAGGUUUUAGAGAAAGAAAUAUAUUCUUUCUUUAUAUUAAAACCAAUAAAUUCCUAAGCUCUGAAACAGUUUUGAAAAUACGUCAUCAAUUUUCAGGGAUAGAAACACCUCUGAGAUACAACAAAUCUAACACUAAAAGUCAAUGGAGGCAGACUAAGCUUGAAGACUUGCUAUAUUGCUUAUCACUCACUGUUUGUAUCUCAGCAAAUAACUGUACAAACAAAAUCAGACUUUAUAUUAACAACAGAGAGAAUAGAUAGUCUUAAAAUGCUGGGGUUUUAAAAAAAUUUUUCACUCUGAUACAUAUAUGCAUGUCUUUCUGUACUGUCAAUACCUUCAUCCUGGACUAAGAUUAAACAUCAACAUUUGGUCCCCUUAAACUUCUGAAGAAAAUCCAGUCCCCAGGCACGCAGUUUUAUGAAAGCAGCUCUAUACAUACUUAUUUUGCAGUUGUUACAAAAGUCUCUUAAAACAUUACCAAUAGAAAUAUAUAAAUAUAGCCCCCAGCAUUUCUUUUUUUUCUCAUUUUGCGAGUUGGUUCAUUUCUAGCAGCACAGCAAAUCAUAUUAAAAAGAAUUUAAUUUUCACCAUUUUUCAAAUGUAAUUUGUCUUCAUGGUACUAAUGCAACAUUAAGCCACUACAACUGAUUUCUUGAAGAAUUAAAUGAAUUCUCAGUCAUGUACCUUGCAACAAAUCUCCAGGCAAUGUGCAACAGCAACUAAUUCACCCAUCCAUUCUGUCUCUGUUUGAGAUUAUUGUUUGGUACCAAGAACAUGCCUUAACUUAAAAUGCUAGUAGAAACACAGGCACCCUUUUCUUUUAACUACCCAUGGUAAAGGCACAGCAACUUUCGGCAGGUAAAGUUACUUAAGCUUUAAAUGGAUAAUGAUUAACAAAUGCUCAUCUGGAAGCAUCCAGUACCCUAAAAAGAAGCAGCUUUAUCAUGCAUUUAUUUGUACCACGUCCUUAUGAAAAUACAUUAGAAAUAUUAAUAUCCAUGUUUUGCAGUGCAUCUGUAUCAAUGCUGUGACAUCCACAAGUCAGAGCAACCUGUCUUCUUUCUGAAAAUCAAGCUUUAUGCUGAUAAAGUCAAUUCAGACCCUUAACAGUGCAACCAGGAAAGAUUUGGGUAAAAAAAGAACAGUAUUCAGUGAGUUUAACAGCAGAAACUGCUGUAAUAUCUUAGCAGUUAAGAAAAACAAUUAAAUAAAGGCAUUUUAAAACAUUUCCUUACAUAAUUUAUGUAAGUGACUUCAAAAAGCACAACCUUAUGGUUUUCUACAAGGGUACACAUACAGUGCCAAAGAAAUAGAUUACUUCUUUGAACAUGUAGCUUACUUGGCCUGUUCCAGUCUGUCAAGAAAAUAUUCAAAGACAUUAUUCAUUACAACAACAUCAGCCUUCUGAAGAAGUGAAGCCUGAGUACAGAUGUCUGCGUGAACCACCUGAAGGAGAAAAAAAUUCACAAAGCAUAAAUUAAUUUAAGAGAAAAUACCUCCUUCAAAUAAACAUUAAAACCAACAGCAUAUUACAACACAUGCUAUGACCUUCUUGAACCCAUCACAAAAAGGUGUAUUUCACUGAUCUCACUGUAGAUGCUUACAGUUAAGUUAAACUAGAUAAGCUUUUUUUUUUUUGAGAAUAUUUCAAGGCUCCUCACAAGCUCAGUGCCUUACUAAGGGAUCGUAGCUAGAAAAAAACACUACAGACAAAUUUGACAAUUGAAUUCUCAUUACCUAUAUAGGGACUGGGAGUGCUGGAAAGGCAAAAUGCUCGCUGGCACUGGAAGACAACAAGUGCUUUAACUUCCCAAGCAACUACUUCUCCAGUAAGCACAGGAGCUGGUUUGAUUUCAUUUACCUUCACCUAUCAAAAAGGAUAUUAGUACGUCAUGUCAUUUUCAAACAGGUGAGAUUAUAGUGACAAGAGAAUGUGAAUGCUCAUUAACACUCCAACAAGAUGUGUCCAAUUUCCUCUUCAACAUGGAAAAGUGCAUCACAUCCUAAAUCUGAGAAACAAACUAGGAAAUCUUUUGAGGGGAUAAUGGAAAGAAACCCAAUGUGAAUAUUCCUUGAAUUCCACAAAAUUUUUUUGAAAGUGCAUCCACAUAUGUUAAAAUCAUACAGAAAACCUGAUCGACGUCUGGUCUUUUCUGUAUGAACUAUUACUAGGUUGUGCAGGGAAUACAUUAAUGCUAUGGAUUCAACAUUUCACAUUUUGUGGAUUCCUUCCAAUAUUCAAAAGAUGUAAAAAAGAAUUCUUGAUUUUGAGUGUUUGUACAGAAAAUAAACAUUUAUCUGUUGAAAACCAUUUUGCCCACUUCACAUAACAGUACUUGUUGAGAGGGUAAGAUACAUACACAUCUUCAUAAAGAACAUGUAAAGCAUGCUGUUCUGAUUGACAGAGGAAAAAGAUACUACCACCCCUGCAAACUGUAGGAGUUCCAGUGGGGAAAGAGAUGACAAAUUGUCAGUUUAUGAUCCCAACUGAUGCUAUUAGGGUACAUUAUUGCAACUGAAAUUGGAGCCAAACGUUUUAAGAUCAGUAACAGCAGAAACAAAGGUCUACUGUAUUAGGCAUCAACAGCUUCAUUUCCUUAAAUUUAAUGCUACCUAUAAUGAGUGGAAGGGAAGUAACUGUGUUCUUGUAGUUUACACAGAAUUGGUAGGUUAGCGUUUGAAGGCUGUAUUUCACUGAGAAAUAUGGACGCCUGAGUUAUCAGUCAAAUGACAGCUUUCAUCUCCAAUGUGUGCAUAUCUGAACUACUUAUCUGUUCAUAAUAUAUGGAACAUUUUAAGACAAUCAAUAUUUGUGAUAAUUUAUCUUAAAAUAGUGUAAUAUAGACAACACCUGCAAAGGAUCUGAUCAAAAAGAAGUUCAAACAUCCAGGCAGCAGAGAAACAAGACCAUCAGCAGUCCUAAAGAAGGUAGGUCCUGGUUGCAAAUCUAUAUCCUAUAUGCAUGAAGCCACUGCUAACUAUAAGUAAAAAUAACAAGCUAUUAAUUGAGGUGGUAGAGGUAUUAUGGAUACAGCCUUAACUGCUGCCUCAGUACAUGGGCUACAGCUUCCUGCAGUGGGGCAGGACAAACAGCAAGGGACAAAACUUGCCUCAGCUAGAUCUAGCCGGAACUCAUGUAUCAGCACUUGGAUUCCUCCAUAAUUUAUUAGUGCAACUAUGCAGUAAGUGGGAUUCAGGUCAAAAUUUGAAGGCAAAAGAGACAUUUUAAUUUAUUCUCUUAUUUUCAAGGGGAGAAAGUAACAAAACCAGCACAUUUCUGUACAAAAUACCUGAGCAGCAGUGCUUAAUUCAAACCCAAGUGACUGAUGGGCUGUUCCCAAAGGGAUUUUAAAAAUGACAGCUUGAAGGAGGAAAAGAUCACACACAUAAGUGGCACAAGACACCACAUUACUACUGAAUUUUCUACAUGUCCUGCUAAUGGCAGUCCUAGUAUUUUUAGCCUUGAUUCAGAAAAAUAAGCUACCAGGAAAUUUCAAACAUAUGUUGUCCGAUGCCUCAUUUACUUCAAAAAUGCUUAGACCUCAAAUUAAAAUUAGACUGCUUUUACAGAACAGGUGACUGUGCUGAUUAAACUGACCUUUGCAGCCCAUUCUCGUUAAACCCAUCCUUGUUUCUAUUGGGGAAUGCAGGACCACAAGAGCAUGUGGUUGCAUCACAAGCAAGGCCCAGAUACCACUCCAGCUGAAACAAUGGGUUCUAAGUCAGCUGUACCUGCUUUCUGUUCAGCUUGGCUAUACGUUGGCACAACAGAGGACAGCAACUGAUUUUAAAUCGAACUAUUUUAUUUUCCUUCCAGUAUCUACACAUUUGCUCAGACAUCAAAAGACACUGAGCAACUUUCUAUAUACUUUAACAAAUCAAAUGUAGAUCAGGAUUCCACCCUUUGGGAAAACGUUCUAACAAAAAUUCAGUAUAUCCUGAAAAGCAAUUAUUAUUUAAGAAAGGUCUCUUCAAAAUCUGUGUCAUAAAUUAUUAUCAGCGGCUGGAUUCUGACUUUCUUUUUUUAAGCUAGUAUGUAUCUCUAGAGAGGUAAAAUAAAAACCUAAGAAUGAGAUAUUCAAAGCAGGGUGAUAACAGAAGUCAUGUGACUAAAUUAGCAUCUAAUGAAAUUCAAAUACUAAAGUCCUCAGGCAUUGCUUUGAAAACAUACCAUCUUCUUAUCUUUAUUCCCUGAAAUGGAUACAUCAGCAGAAUUAAAAGGUGUGAAGGAAAAACAAAGUCUUAUAAUAUAGUACAUAAAAGGCUGAAAAGCAUAUUUAUGCAUCUCCAGUUCCACUGAAGUAACUUGACAAAGUUCUAACUGAGACUUCAGUCUCAUCAAAACAAGUACGAAGUACAUGCAAAAAUUGAAGGUUAUGGAUGAACUGUCAGCAGUUGGUAUUGAACUGGGCAACCCAAUGACACUGCUUACCUAGAGUUAUAUUUAUGUACGCUUAUUAUUUCUUUACAGUUCAAAAUCACUAUUUUAAUUUCCAAGAAAUAACUGCGCCCAGUGGUUUUUGUGACUCCACUCAAGAGCAUAUGCAUAUAACACAGGAUUAAAGCCAGUAUUUCACACAGCAUAUUCUACUUACCAAUUUUUGCUGGAAGCAAAACAACUGGUAUUCCCCAAGAAGGGAAAAAAACCCAAAUAUUUUUCUCAUUAAAAUGAUAGUACUAGUUAUUUCCAUAAUAGGAGUUGAGAAACAAUUCCCAUAACAAUAUCACGUUGCUUGAAACUCAUUUUGUUUGUGGAAAGUACACACGCACUGACAUGUCAAGAAAACAAAUUCCAAUAGCCAAAAGUCCUUUAGGUGUUCUUAGAUGCAAAUUUACAAAUCCUCCCUCUAGUGUUAAUGAAAUGCACAGACAUUUGAUUUUCUUAUUCAAGACAGAAACUCUCAUUCACUCAGUUUCAAGGAAGUUAGUGGCAACGCUGUUGUUCACUUCACUGGGAGAAACAACUAAGAUGGAUCUGUUUUGCAUGAGCCAGCAGGUAAAUCCAUUUGGGAAAGAGGUUAAGACAUACAUCAUGUUAUCAUAGUUUGGAAAUUUUCCUUUUUCUUUCCACACUGAGAUUUUUUUUCCAAUAUAAACCCUUUGCUUAAUACCAAAGCAAGCAAAGGCAGAAACAAUUUUUCAGAAUGCCAAUUUACCAGUUGCUCUUGCAAACAGAAUACCUACUAUACAGUGGUUAAAAAUAUACACACACAGCCAUAUACUUAGUUACCUUUAUUCUGUCAAUGAACUGGUAUUUUGUAAUUGUCAUUUCUUGCAACUGGCAAAAGUCUGCAUUCAUUUCUACUCCAUACAGUUGAGAAGCUGAGCUAUAAAGAUAACCCUACAUUAGGAAAAGGAAGUUUAGUAACCGUGAUGCCUUUAAAACAACUUCAAUAUUGAGUUGAAAUGGAAAAAAAAACAAACCAAACAAAAACAAACAAAAACAAACAAGCCAACAAAAGUAAAUAUCAAGAAAGUAUUUAAUAAAAAAAGAAGCUAAGAUGUGCCUUACAGUGGAUGUGAUAUAUUUUUCAAAGCUAGGCCUGUUUUGACAAUUUCCACUUAUGGCUCACACAUUUUUUAAUAAGAGAUCCAAAACAACAGGUCAAAAUAAUAAAAAGAGUAGGAAAUCUUCAACUUUACUUCAAUUGCAAAGUAGAUGGAAAAAGGCCUAGGAUGGAAAAAAGCAGUAGAAACCAAAUUAUAAAAAUAGCAAGAAGGAAAAAGACUGUACUUUUUUUUUUCUUGUGAGAAUGGAAGAAGAAAAUACAGCAAGAGAAGAAAAAACAACUAGGACAGUUAAUGUGAGUGAAGACAGAGGAUGAUCUUUCUCGUAAUAUAAUGGGAUAAUGGGAUAUUUUGGGACAGUCUUUGUCAGCACCUCUAAGUAGUGUAUCACUGCCAUUUUCAGGUGCUUUACAGAGAUGCAUAUGAAAAAAAAAAAUGAGAAAUUAUCUCUAAAUGAUAAGCCUAAAAUACUUCAGCAAUUCCGUUUUGGACUGAGAUUUUAGAAAUUUGUAAAAGAUGUAAAAAACAAAAACAAAAACAAAAACAAAAACCACACACCUAGAACAAAAGCCCUCAAGCCUAUAGUGCCCUAAUGGAGAUACUGCUUUAGCUUCUAUUUGCCAUUGUCUCCGUAGAACACUUGGCAAACAACGGGAAACACCAGCAAAAAGUGCUGAAGAUAGAGAAAGUUCAAGAUGGCUAUAUACUGCAAUCUAAUUAUUAAUGUUUUCUGAACUCAUUAAACUCAGUGACAGCAACCUGUGAAGGCAAAGCUAUCAUUUCUAAACAUGAUAAAAAAUAGAACAAAACAUUCUUCCUGCUUUUUCUUGAGACUAUCUUCUACUAUAACAAUACAAUUUAAAUACUUCAUUUAAAUACUUGAAAAGAAAUUCAAUAGCUAGCAAAAGUGUUAUCAUUAAAGGACCCAAUACUGGAAAUAUUUACAAAAGGGUGUAACUUUUCUCAUUUGAGCAGUCCCAAAAUUAGAUUAUUCAGAUGAGUAAAAUUACAUGCACAAGAGUUUCCAAGAUUGAGCCCCAAACAGCCAUUGACUUUUGUAAGAAAGUUGUAAUGUGUGUUUUGCGUUGCUGUUGGCCAUAUGUUUCACCAGCCAUGCCAAAAGCAAUCAAAAUUGCACUCAAGUUUCUCGAAGUAUUUUAUGUGCAUUUUAAAACACAGAGCAGGACAAUAUGUUUUUGGAGACAAAUUCAUAUCAAAGCCUUCCUUUGUAUAAUUCAACAGUUUGUCAGAUUCAUAAAGGAACUUAACAUAUCUGAUCUAUAUAUAGACAUGGUCAAGACAUAUGGGACAAACUCACUUAUGGAGGAGGAGAAGAGCAGGAAUUAGCAAAAGAGCAGUAUGUGUGACGGCAAUAUGCUGCUGUGUUGGACAACAGACUUUUCUGCUCCAUAAGCAAGAUCACUGGUAUUCUCUUUCGUGAGGCAAGAGCAAAAACAAAAAUCACUAUGAAGCAGCACCAUACUCUAUUCAACCAGAUCAGAGGUGCUGUUCAGAAUGACCUGUCGAAGAUUGAGUAGCGAUAGUAGGAAGUCGGAGAAGAAGGAAUAUGUUUGUUACAGUAAUAAAAUAUAAAUUCCUGUGCUGGAAGUUACCGCAAAUAGCACUGCACCAAGCCUGGAGCCAACGUCAACCACUACCUUUCCUGUCAGGUCAGGCAGUACAUGUUGAUAAAGAAACUUCAGUUCCAUGAGGGAAAAGGAAUGCGAAAUAAAUUCUGGGAAAUAAGAACAGAACAAAGGUGUUGGGUGGGCAGUACUAACUAAUGUGUUAGUAACCAAUAAAAUACUAAUCUGAGGAGUUACCAUCACUGAAAACCCAUUUGCUUUCCUUCCUCAACUAGUGCAGGGGACCCAGGAAAACCAGAGAUUACAGAUCUGAUCCAGCCUGUCAGCAGACUGCCCGAGUCCAUGGAUUUAUUCCUUUACAUGGAGAAUUUUUAAAUCCUUCUUCAAUGCCUGAUCUGUACCACACAAGCUUUAAGACAGAUGGUGCUCUCCACAGUUUUCAGUGCACAAGAGAAGACUGAGGCUACUGCAUGGGCUGCUACAGUAUUAUUUGCGUAUACACCUUUUCAGUGGCAGUUAGAAAAAGGACCUGGAAGGAACCUUCGGAAGUUACCAACUCUUCAACCCUUCUUCCAAGACAGAAUCAAUUCUGAGCACCAAUAUUUCUCCCAAGCUAUUAUCUAAAUAAAUAAAUAAAUAAUUCUUGGAUGCUGGAGUACCUACAAUCUCCCUUAUCAAUCUACAAUCUUCCUUAUCAACCCAUUCCAGAGA
Centrocercus urophasianus (Greater sage-grouse) is the source of this 9596-nucleotide long non-coding RNA. RefSeq lists it as uncharacterized. The transcript is spliced from 4 exons. The record is from RefSeq and is a predicted model, not a curated record. NCBI's taxonomy places the organism in Eukaryota, Metazoa, Chordata, Aves, Galliformes, Phasianidae.